UCCUCUCGGAGUCUUUCACUGG
Molecule: unclassified non-coding RNA, 22 nt
Filed under: Mus musculus (house mouse)
Lineage: Eukaryota; Metazoa; Chordata; Mammalia; Rodentia; Muridae
Description: oocyte_clustered_small_RNA7350
Source: RNAcentral